UCUCCGUUGGUGAACCAGCGGAGGGAUCAUUACCGAGUUAUCAACUCCCAAACCCCUGUGAACAUACCCAACGUUGCUUCGGCGGGACCGCCCCGGCGCCCUCGGCGUCCCGGAACCAGGCGCCCGCCGGAGGACCCAAACUCUUGUUUAAACCAUAGUGGCGUAUUCUGAGUCUCACAAGAAAAAUGAAUCAAAACUUUCAACAACGGAUCUCUUGGCUCUG
Molecule: unclassified non-coding RNA, 223 nt
Filed under: plant metagenome
Description: partial contains small subunit ribosomal RNA, internal transcribed spacer 1, and 5.8S ribosomal RNA
Source: RNAcentral